AAGAAUCUCAUGGUGUGCAAUGCUCGACUAAUGGCCUAUACAUCGGAGCUACAGAAAUUAGAAGAACAGAUUGCAAAUCAGACUGGAAGAUGUGAUGUGAAAUUUGAAAGUAAAGAACGAACAGCAUGUAAAGGAAAGAUUGCCAUAUCAGGUCAGAAGUUCCAUGAGGUUUUGGUACCAUGUUUAUUUUGGUCAUCACUUUACACCCAGAAGCUAGCAUGGUGCUUGGCUCAUAGUAAUUGCUCAGUGACUCUUGGAUGGAUGGCUGCUCUUCAUUGCCUGUAGUGUAAAGACCAAACAUUUUUCUCCAGUCUUCCAUUUUGACCCAAUUUUUUUUCUAGUCAUAUCUUCUAUUACUCCUAAACAUAAGCUGUCGCCUUUAGCAGACAUUUCUCUCCUUGUCCUGGCAACAUAACCCAUGCUUCUGACACCCAAUUAGCUUGUGAAAUAACUACAUUCUCUUAAAUAUCUGUUUGUUUAUCUAUAUAUAAUAUAAUCUCUGUUACCGUUCCAACUAGAAAGGAUGUUUCCUUUCUCUCAAUUCCUAAUGCAGUUAGGAGACCCUUCACCACUAGAUGGCACUUAUGCUGUGCAGUCUCAGUUUCUCCAAAGUGUUCAGGAAGCUAAAGACAAUGGCUUGGAGAUGCCACAGAUUGAAAUGAAUACAUGGCUGACUCGUGUGUACACUAGUCAGAUAAUGCACUUUUACAAAUAUUUUCUUAUCAGUACAUUUUUGAAACAAUAGUAUAUACCUCCAUUGGUCCUUAAGUAAUCACUAGGUUAUUGGCUAAAAGUCUUGUACUAGAGAGCCUGCUGCUACAUUUGAGGUACUGUCACCUAAGGAACUGUUUCUAGUAAUAUUUUUCUGGAUAAACAAAAUUAUCACACAGGACGGUAGACCUACAUUUUACAAAGUACGUAAAUGGCCAAAAUCUGAAGAAUUGCAUUCAGCUAAGCAAAAUAUUCUUCAGAAAAUAACUGGAAUAUGUAAAAAUUUGUUGCUUGUUUUAUAGUUAUUUAUAUUUGUUUUUAUCUUUAUAAUACAAAACAAAACAUGUUUUAUCCUUGUAUUCUUUUGCUAUCAAACAUGUAUUUUUAUGUGGUAUUGUUCAUUAUGUGCAAUAAAUUUU
This 1130-nucleotide long non-coding RNA is filed under the name Homo sapiens (human). Its description in RNAcentral is "HSALNT0163413". The record is from RNAcentral. Lineage: Eukaryota; Metazoa; Chordata; Mammalia; Primates; Hominidae.